GCGCCCGUGGCGAAAUUGGCAGACGCACCAGCUUUAGGAGCUGGCGCCGUAAGGCAUAGAGGUUCAAGUCCUCUCGGGCGCACCA
Molecule: transfer RNA, 85 nt
Filed under: Candidatus Azambacteria bacterium
Lineage: Bacteria; Candidatus Azamiibacteriota
Description: tRNA-Leu
Rfam family: tRNA
About the family: Transfer RNA (tRNA) molecules are approximately 80 nucleotides in length. Their secondary structure includes four short double-helical elements and three loops (D, anti-codon, and T loops).
Source: RNAcentral